GUAGGGAAUUUUGCGCAAUGGGCGAAAGCCUGACGCAGCAACACCGCGUGAGUGAUGAAGCAUCUUGGUGUGUAAAACUCUGUCAGAGGGGACGAAUUUUGACGGUACCCUCAAAGGAAGCAUCGGCUAACUACGUGCCAGCAGCCGCGGUAAGACGUAGGAUGCAAGCGUUGUCCGGAAUUAUUGGGCGUAAAGAGUUCGUAGGCGGCAUGUCAAGUCUGGUGUUAAAUCCAGGGGCUCAACCCCUGAUCGGCAUUGGAUACUGACAAGCUAGAGUACAGAAGAGGCAAAGGGAAUUCCUAGUGUAGCGGUGAAAUGCGUAGAUAUUAGGAGGAACACCGGUGGCGUAAGCGCUUUGCUGGGCUGUAACUGACGCUGAGGAACGAAAGCCAGGGGAGCAAAUGGGAUUAGAAACCCCGGUAGUCC
This 426-nucleotide ribosomal RNA is filed under the name uncultured bacterium. RNAcentral describes it as "bacterial SSU rRNA". It matches the Rfam family "Bacterial small subunit ribosomal RNA", at positions 354 to 796 of the family's 1533-position model. The record is from RNAcentral.